Molecule: non-coding RNA, 100 nt
Filed under: unclassified sequences
Description: L4-Archaeoglobi ribosomal protein leader
Rfam family: L4-Archaeoglobi ribosomal protein leades
Source: RNAcentral
CUGACGGCCGCGUUCGGGUCAAUUGCGAACUGCAACACCCGGUCUCGCUGCUCGUGCCUCCGUCGAUGGAGGUCGAGGAGGGGACGCGCGUCGCCAUCAG